CACUUUAUUAGCUGCAGCAAUGAUGACCGCUCGCAGUGCCGUGAUCUGUGGGGAUUCCAGCUCGAGUCCUGAGGACACAGGUACAGUGAGUGUUGGUGAAGGAGACACUGAUCAAGAUGAAGAUACAUAUGGAGCCAUGGAGCCAAAAAGGCAGGUCUUCCUGACUGGCAGCACGCGGCAUGAAUGUCACUCACCCUUCUCUGGUCCCUGUACUAGUCUUAGAAGCUUCCCACUAAUGAAGGGACUAACUCUCACCUGCAACAAAUCCAGCUGAACUCGGUACCGCAAUCAUGACAUUCUGAGAGCGUCCUCCUUAUUCACUGCUGGAAAAUGGAACUUGAAGGGGUUAGGAAGGAGGGGAACGUUACGUCUUGUAGGUCUGAUGUCUAGUUUUUGUUUAGCCACAGCAACUAGUAGUAACAGUACUUUACAGCUUGAAGAACAAUGUCACAUCCAUUUUCUCAUUCAAUUAUCUCAAUAACCCUGUCAAGCCUGGG
RNAcentral lists this long non-coding RNA (497 nucleotides) under Bos indicus x Bos taurus (hybrid cattle). RNAcentral describes it as "lncRNA (ENSBIXG00000015182.1)". The record is from RNAcentral. Lineage: Eukaryota; Metazoa; Chordata; Mammalia; Artiodactyla; Bovidae.